GGAUUAGGCAUGCAAGUCGAACGAGAAAGGCAUCUUCGGGUGCCGAGUAAAGUGGCGAAAGGGUGAGUAACGCAUAGAUAACCUGCCCGUGAGAUGGGAAUAACUCCUUGAAAGGGGAGCUAAUACCCAAUAAUACGGCAAGCCACAGGGUUUGCCGUCAAAGAUAGUUAACGCCUUCGCUCAGGGAGGGGUCUAUGUCCUAUUAGCUUGUUGGUAGGGUAACAGCCUACCAAGGCAAUGAUGGGUAGCCGACCUGAGAGGGUGACCGGCCACACUGGGACUGAGACACUGCCCAGACUCCUACGGGAGGCUGCAGUCGAGAAUCUUCCGCAAUGCGCGCAAGCGUGACGGAGCGACGCCGCGUGGGGGAUGAAGGCCUUCGGGUUGUAAACCCUUGUCACCUGGAAAGAAAGACAGGUGGUGAAUAGCCAGCCUGUUUGACGUUACCAGGAGAGGAAGCACCGGCUAAAUACGUGCCAGCAGCCGCGGUAAUACGUAUGGUGCUAACGUUGUUCGGAAUCACUGGGCUUAAAGAGCACGUAGGCGGUUGAGAAAGUCUGGUGUGAAAUCCCUCGGCUCAACCGGGGAACUGCACCAGAAACUUCUUAGCUAGAGUACAGGAGGGGAGAGUGGAAUUCCUGGUGGAGCGGUGAAAUGCGUAGAUAUCAGGAGGAACGCCGGUGGCGAAAGCGACUCUCUGGCCUGUUACUGACGCUGAGGUGCGAAAGCUAGGGGAGCGAACGGGAUUAGAUACCCCGGUAGUCCUAGCCCUAAACGAUGGGCACUAAGUAGAGGGGUUUU
This 801-nucleotide ribosomal RNA is filed under the name uncultured Planctomycetota bacterium. Its description in RNAcentral is "bacterial SSU rRNA". It matches the Rfam family "Bacterial small subunit ribosomal RNA", at positions 46 to 832 of the family's 1533-position model. Lineage: Bacteria; Pseudomonadati; Planctomycetota. The record is from RNAcentral.